AAUUAUUUUAUACAUUUCACUCUGCUUACAAAAAAAAACAAGAUAUGUUCGUGAGGCUAUUCGAACUUGAACUAACGUACCAUUUGAUAAAUUUAUACAACUAUUUCGUCAGUUCCAAUUUUGGACUUAGUAAAGUCAGAACACACUUCACCUAAGGGAUGUGGAAUCCUAGUAAGUUUUGUGUAAAUUAUGUUUCGAGCGUAUAUUUAAAAACUAUCGUUUCGAGUUUAUAUAUGUGCGUAUUUAAAAAAAAAAAUUUAAGGUGGGAAACAAAAUUGAAUUCAGGAAGAGAAAUUCACAUUUGCACGUGCUUAAAAAUGUCUUUGAAAUAACCUGUUUUUUUUUUGGGCAGGCAUGGUGAAGCCAGAGAGUGAGGAAACUGUGCAACCUGAAGGUUAUGGCGGUGGCCACGGAGGACAUGGUGGUUACGGAGGGGGAGGAGGCCACGGACAUGGAGGACACAACGGAGGAGGGGGCCACGGACUUGACGGAUACGGAGGAGGAAAUGGUGGUUACGGAGGUGGAGGACACUACGGAGGAGGUGGUGGAGGACACUACGGAGGAGGUGGUGGAGGACACUACGGAGGAGGUGGUGGAGGACACCACGGAGGAGGAGGCCACGGGCUUAACGAACCUGUUCAGACUCAGCCGGGUGUUUAAAACUAUAUCAUAUAUUCACCACCAUCCAUGAUUGCAUAUAUAUAUAUACACUUAUGUAUUAUGUGUAUGCUUAUAAAUAAACCAUGGUGAGUUUGUAACACAGUGCCUUCGGAAAUGUUUGGAAUAAAGUUCCAUUAUAAUCUGCGCUGUUUGCAUAAUAAAAUCGUUUGUAGGUCAUGUUACGCUCUUUCAGUUUUUUUUGUAAGAGUUUUAUUUCCUUAUUCAUAUUCUUAGGGUUAGUGAAAAAAAAGAUGGUAAACUGGCUAGGAAUUUUUUUCUUAAAAGAAAAGAUUACCAAAAACCUAGAGACUAUCGAGGUUUUGCAUACACCAACACUUACGAAGUUAAUUAAACAUAUGGAAGUGAUACGAGAUAUGGGAUCAAUUAAAACACAGCAGGGUGAUUUGUAAUCAAGAGUCUGUUGGAUCAACAAGUGUCUAUCGAACGCAGAUGGGUGAUCUAUAACCAGGUGUCUGUUGGAGCAACAAGCACCUGUGGAGAAUGGAGGAGUAACGUGCAUGGGAAGCAGCAAGCAUGGAAUAAAGAUGACGUGGCGAGCUGCUAUUGAUAUGAUUUAAUGGCGUAUCUUUCAGGAUAUUGACGAAUCAACAAAUAGAAGAUUCGGAGAUAUCUAGAUUAUGGAAACUAGGUCAGCCACGUGAUGUGUGGUUGGACCUAUAUAAGGCGGUCUAAGCGUUAGGCUUAGGUUAGCCGUUUUCCCCAUUUCUGUGAAUCACAAGAUCAAAAGCGGGAAAAGCUUGUUAGGGUUAUUGGUGAGUGAAUAGAGAGCAAAUCACAGCUAUUGUUGUGUCAGCGAGUUGGGUAGAUUAAGAAUUGGUCAGUGAUGAGUUAUGUCAACGUCGUGUAAAUCUGAUUAAAAAAAUCUGUUAGAUUGUUUAAGUGAUUCCUAAUAAAGAAAAGAGGUUUUUUUUCAAUUCUGUCUACAUCUACGUAAUAACAAUAACAAGAGCAAGAACAAAAGCUUUGGAUUAUAACAGAAAGUUCCAUAAGGAAUCUAUGAUAAUAAUUGAUUUGCAAUUAACAAAACCAUAGUUGCAAGUCUCACUUUCGCUUUCACAUUUGGUGGAGAUAAAACCUAUUUCUUUUCAUUACUCGGAGGUGGGUGUUUUGCUGAUUCUUUUACACGAUAUUAACAUUUUGUGGGUGCAUAAGUGACAGCUGAAUAUCUGAAUUCUUUCAAAUACGGAAAGCCCUUAGAGUAGUGGAACUUCGCUUGUAUUCGUUUUGGGUUCAGAUUGGCUGAUAUUUUAUAUUUUGUACUAAAUCUAUUUAAACUAGGCCUAAGGUUUAUAUCCGUUAUCCGCAGAUAUCCGUAUCCAUAUCCGGUUUUUGAUCCGAAAAAAAUGGAUAUCCGGCAAAACGGAUACGGAUACGGAUAGUAAAAUGACGGAUAUCCCGGAUACGGAUAUGGAUACGAAUAAUUCUAAAAUUUGGGCCGGAUAACGGAUAUCCGGCAAAAAAUAUAAUAACAAAUCUAUAUAUAAUAGCAAUCUAAUAAAUACGAUUUGCAUAUUUGAACGGUUGCGUCUUUUUAUCGCAACCUUUCGUUUAAAUCGGCUAUUUUCUUACAGUUAUUUUGGUUGCGUCUUUUUAUCGCAAUUUUCGUUUUAAUCGGUUAUUUUUUUACGGUUAUGUCGUUUCCAAUAAAUACCAUUUGCACAUCUGAACGGUUGCGUCUUUUUAUCGCAACUUUUCAUUUAAAUAUUGGCGGUUAUUUUUUCGGUUGUGUUUUCUUAUCGUAACUCUUCGUUAAAAUAUUGAAGGUUACUAUCUUUUGUUGACAGUUAUUUUUCAGUUAUGUUUUUUUAUCGCAAUUUUCCGAUAAAAUAUUGGCGGUUACUUUUUCGUUUAUGUCUUUUUCGUAAUUUUCCGUUAAAAUAUAGAAGGUUAUUUUUUUCUCGGUUGUGUCUUUUUAUCGCAACUUUCCGUUAAUAUAUUGACGGUUAUUUUCUCUCGGUUAUGUCUUUUUAUCGCAAUUCUUCGUUAAAAUAUUGACGUUUACUUUUUUCGUUGACAGAUAUUUUUUUUGGUUGUGUCUUUUCAUCGUAACUUUCCGUUAAAAUAUUGAUGGUUACUUUUUUCGUUUGUAUCUUUUUAUCACAACUUUCCUUAAAAAUAUCAACAGUUAUUUGUUCUCAGUUAUGUCUUUUUAUCGCAAAUUUCCGUUAAAAUAUUGACGGUUAUUUUUUCAAAGGUUCUGUCUUUUUAUCGCAACUCUUCGUUAAAAUAUUGACACUUAUUUAUUCUCGGUUGUGUUUUUUCUCGCAACUCUUUGUUAAAAUAUUGUCGGUUAUUUUUUCUCAGUUGUGUCUUUUUAUCGCAAUUAUUCGUUAAAAUAUUGACGGUUAUUUUUUUUGUUGACGGAUAUUUUUACGAUUGUGUUUUUAUCGUAAAUUUCCAUUAAAAUAUUGACGGUUACUUUUUCGUUUGUUUCUUUUUAUCGCAACUUUCCGUUAAAAUAUUGAUGGUUAUUUUUGCAGUUGUGUUUUUUAUCGCAAUUUUUGUAAAAUAUUGGCGGUUACCAUUUUCGUUUGUGUCUUUUUAUCGUAAUUUUCCAUUAAAUUAUUGACAGUUAUUUUUUCUCGGUUGUGUCUUUUAAUCGCAACUUUCUGUUAAAAUAUUGACGGUUAUUUUUUCUCGGUUGUGUCUUUUUAUCGUAACUCUCUGUUAAAAUAUUGGAUAUUACUUUUUUUGGUGACGAUUAUUUUUUCGGUUGUAUCUUUUUAUCUCAAUUUUCCAUUAAAAAUUGAGGAUUAAUUUUUUUGUUUGUGUCUUUUUAUCGCAACUCUUCGUUAAGAUAUUGACGGUUACUUUCUUCGUUGCCGGUUAUUUUUUUGGUUGCGUCUGUUUAUCAUAACUUAUGUUAAAAUAUUAACGGUUACUAUUUUUGUUUGUGUCUUUUUAUUGCAACUCUUCGUUAAGAUAUUAACGGUUACUUUUUUCGUUGCCAGUUAUUUUAUUGGUUGUGUCUUUUUGUCAUAACUUUAUGUUAAAAUAUUAACGGUUACUAUUUUUGUUUGUGUCUUUUUAUCGCAAAUUUUGGUUAAAAUAUUGACGGUUAUUUUUUCUAAGUUGUGUCUUUUUAUCGCAUUGUUUCGUUAAAAAUAUUGACAGUUAUUUUUUUGGGACAGUUCUAUUUGUUCAAUUAUAGUCAUAUUUUUUUAGUUUAUGGUUGUGUCUUUAUAGUUGCAUCUAUUCAUUUAAAUACGUCUCUAUACUAUAUUUAAUUGCAUUUUUUCAUCACAACUUUUUUGUAUGAAUAGUUGUCUAUUUAAAUGUUCAUAACUUUUGAACUCUAUAUAUUUGUCCUUCUUUCUAAAUAGUUCCCAAGUUUUGUUUUUUAACAUAGAUUUAUUGUUUCGUGAUGAAUCCAAAAAAAAAAAAAUCUGUAAAAUGGCUCUAAAUUCUUUAUUCUCUAAACUAUUUCUAAACAUAUAACAUUUUAAUAUUAAAGAAAUUCUUCUCAUUCUUGAUCUAACCAUUGUUUUUUAGAAUGAUUAUAAAAAUGGAGAAGUUUUAAUCAUCUUUACAUAUAAAAUUCUAAUGAAGACACCGACAAUUUUUUUCUUAGAAUUGGACGAAUUUUAUAGUAAAUUUUUUUUUAUUUUAACUAUUUUAUAUGAUAACAAUGAUGCUUUCUAUCUUAAAGAAAUAUAUAUGGGUUGUAUACAAGAAACUAUUAAUGUUGCGUUAAUACUAUUACAACUAGGAUAUGACCCGUGGUACACCGCGGGUUAAUUAUUUGAUUUUUUAAAUCAUUUUGUAAACUGAUGAAUUUGUUGUUUAUAAUAUUAUUUGUUGUAUACCGCGGAUCACAUGCGUUGUAACUAAAAAAUAAAAAUUUUAAGUUGUAUUUGUUUUGUUUAGUGUUUAAGAUUGUAUAAUUGUAUUUUGAUUUGUUAAUUCUAGGAUUUUACCCGUGGUAUAUUGUCCGUAUUAAUAUCGACCCAAACCCGUCUCACUAUAUAUUCCCGUCUUGUGAAUUAAACAUCAUUUUGUUAUUUUUUUAAUAACACUUUUAUUUAAAAGACAUAUAAUUCGAGUCAAUUUAAAAGUUUGUUUUCAAAUGGUUUCCAUAACAUAUAUAUAUUUUUAAAUUAGUGUGUGUUUUUGGACCAACCCGUAAAAACAAUUUAUAAUUUUAUCUUAAAAUACUAAAUAAUUGUAUUUUGAUUUGUUAAUUUUAGGAUUUCACCCGUAGUAUACGGUCCCGCUUUGGAUAAUUGUAGAAAUUAAGGAAAGUUCUAAAUGAUUCAAUUCCGGGUCAGAAAAAAAAAACGACCUAAUUAAAUACGCAAAUUUGUUCUUCAAAAAUGUUAAUAUAUAUUACACACAUACUUUUUUUCUUGAUUGAUUAAGUAAUAUAUGUCCGUUUCAAAAAAUUUGAAUCAUAGCAUAUGCAGGAAAAAAUCUAAGGUUUUAUUAACUACAUAUAUUUUAUAAUAAUUCAAAUAAUAUAAAUAUAAGAUCAAAUAAAAGUGAAAUGAGAAUCAUAUAUUUAUGUAUAAAUUAGGUAGAGAGGUUUUAGGAAAUUAGCUCAAAUUUGUUAUAUUAGCAUUAAAUCAUCAUAUUUGAUUUCCUUAUCUAUAAAAAUCGUAAAUAAUAUACCAUAAAUAAAGAGUUUAGAUAUAGUAAUUAAUUGAGAAAAUAUUUUAUAUAUUUUAGAUUUUAUUAAUUAAUUCCGUUUUUAAAUUUUGCCAAAAUUUAAGGAAAGAUCCGAUUGAGAUUUCCGGGUCAAAAUUGAAUCAAAAUCCAACCCGAUUAGGAUCCCUUAAAAGUGUUGCAAAAAUGUAUAGUAGAAGUCUAAAUAUGAGAUAACAUCCUCAUGUGACCCUUGUGAUUUUGCGUUUUAAAUGUGGUAAACGUCAAAUGAAUCGUUUCAAAUGUUAUAGUAAUCGAGAAAUCAUCUACAUUAUUAGGCAAAAAAGCAAUGAUUCCAAUUCGUCAAAUAUUUAUUCAAGGAAGAAGUUUUUUUACUCAGUUAAUUUAUCAAUAUAUAUAAAUAUAAUUUAUGAGAUCUUGUAAAAUGUAUAUUUUUUUGCAAUAGAUGUAAUUUAGGUCAAAUUUUAUAUUUUUGAACAUAUAUAAUAGAAUAAAUAUUAAUUUUAUAUUUAAAGAAUAGUGGACAAAAAAAAACACCAAUUUUUGGACGAAGUGUUUAGCCACCCAUAAGUCAUUCUGAGUACCGACUCCAUCCGAAUUUUUGGGUUUUGACCCGCUAGAAUUUUACAUCUCUAUAUUAUAACUCUUCGUUAUGUAUUUUGUCAUUUAUAAAUAAUUUUACAUUUCAAGAGUUUUUUUAAUCAAAAUUCUUCUUUUUUAAAUUUCUAUUCAUAAAUUUUUUUAACAUCUUCGAAAAAUAAUUACGAUAUAACUUUAAAAGAUAGUUAAUUUUAUGUAAUAAUUCAUAAAUUUGCAUAUAUUAUUACAAUAAUUUAAUACAUAAACACAAUCAAAUAUAUGUGUUGAAAAUGAGUUCCCCCGUGACAUAGCGGGGUUCAUAACCUAGUAAUAAUAAUAAUUAUAACUUAAAAGCCUUAUGACUCCAUUUCAAGUGUUAAAGCCCAAAAAAACUUGUAAGCCCAACUUUUUUAAUAUUGUUUUUAUUUUAUUUUCAAUGUUAAUAAAUAAAUCAUAUGACAAAAAAUAAAAAUAAAUUUCUAAUAAGAAUUUAAGAAAUUGAUUAAUGUUUUUUUUUUGUUAAAAACAUCACAUGAAUCUUUUAAACUUUUUGCUACUUUAAUAAAUUCUUUGUUUUUGUAAUGUUUUGUAUAUAUAAUUAACUUCUAGUUAUUUUAUGAAUUUUUUAAGCUUUAUAUGUAUGAUAUUAAUGAAUUUAGGAUUUUAAAACACUAUUUCCGGAUAUUCGCUUCAACGACAGAUCCGGAUACAGAUACUAAAUUGGCGGAUAAUAUGGAUACGGAUAUCUUAAAAAAACCGGAUAUCCUCCCCGUUUAAAGGCCUAAUUUAAACUAUCUAAAGUAUCUGAAAUACCCGAAAAAUCUAUACUUUUAUCCAGUCAUGCAAGUUCGGUUAACAGAAACCGAACUGAGCCAAUAUCUCAGUUUCUUGGUUUAUUUAGUUAUCAGACAAUACCACAUUAACCAAAUAAUUAUUUGGUUUAAUUCGGUUCACGGUUUAUUUUGGUUAUUGAAAUUCCGAAUUAAACCGAUAUUGGAUUAAAUUCAAUACACCUAGUUAAAUUAUGUAAAAUCAGUAAAAUCGGUUUGUUCGGUUAAUAUUGGUUAAUGGGUUUUCAAUUUAAUGUGCUAUAAUUGGUUUUGCCCCUGUCAAACAAAAAAAAAGUUUGGGCCAAUCCUUAUAAAGAAAAACGAAAAUUUGGCAGGUUGACAACAUUUUCUUUUAUGAAACGGUGCGUUUUGGAGCCUUCUUCUUCAACCUUUUUUUAUUUUUUAUUUUUUUUAUUUUUAUUUUUUUAUUUUAAUACCAGGAGGUUGUAAACCAAAACCUGUAAUCCUCUAGGCCCGAAACCACAGCAUGUAAUAUUAGUUUUAUCCCAAACGUCACUCGAACCGUCGACCUCUAAGCUUCGCCUACGAUCUUUACCAGUUGGUCUUCAACCUUGUCACAAGCCACAAAACUCUAAGCAGAGAAAACUUCUCGACGAGUUUUGAACAAAGAAAAAGAAGAUCUUGGUUGAUCGUUUAGUUCACAUGAAUUACCAAAAAUAUCGGAAAAAUUGUAAUUUUGGGUAUUUGGAUUAUUAAAAUAUAAAUAAUACUAAUAUUUUUUGGGUAUAUACUUACAUUUUUGUUAUGUUUGGAUACUUGUUCGAUUUCGUAUUCGAUAAGAUUCUUCACGUCUAGAUGUUUAGGUUAUGUUUCGGGUAUUUUGGCCUGUUCAUGCCUCUUUUUUUUGUUCAAGUUCGAUUAUUUUUUUUCGGUUAUAUUAUUUUGUUCAUGCUUCGAAAAUGUUUAAAAGAUCGCUGGUUUUAAAAAUGGUUAAUUAAAACAACUAACUUUUUGAUAGAAUAUCAAAUUUCCAUUUUUUUAAUUAUAAAUGUUUAUUGAUUAAACCAAAUUAAUAGCAUUGUUAAGCGGGUUGACAAAAAAAUAUUAGGUUUUCCGUCAAUCCUUAAUUAACUGUAUAUGUAAUCGAUGUAGUAAAUUUCCAUCCUAUUUUAUCCUAUAUACCAUACACAAAUUAGAAUCCUUUAAAUAAUACAUACAUGUGAUGGAUCACAACCGUAAUAGGAAAGACAGCAAAUGAGCCUCGCUUAUCCCUGUCCGUAAGAAACCGACAACCAAUUCCGAGUCCAACUCCAACUCCAUGCGUCUAAAAACGUAUUAUAGUAGCCCCCCACAACUCCGUUAGGGGUGCUGGCAAAAUUUCUCAUCCAAGAUCCAUCUUUCCCCAAUAGGACUCCUCCAGCCGCAAGCCCUAGAUUUCAAUGAGAGUUCCCAUCUGUUGUGAGCUUUAUCCAACCCUUAUUCGGUGGCGCCACUUGAUCACCGAAUUAAUUAAUUAGUUCACCGUCAAAUUAAUAUGGGGAAUAGGAAACUUGAUUUAGUGACACAUUUUCUUUCUAACCAUUCAUCGUAAACUUUUUUUUUAAUCAUUAACUCCACCAUUUAAAAAAAAACAACAUAUCUAUUAAUAUUAUCCAAUAAUGCGCUUACACGGCCAAUCGACCCACAAAAUAGAAGAAGAAAACAAAAACGACACCAAACCGGAGAUCUGGACAUGGUGGAUAUCAGCAGCACCGGCAGCACCUCCAAGCUCCGGUGAUAACAAGAGGCCCUUCUUGCUGCUCCAUUGCGACUCGAGUGACAUGGCCGAAGUUAUCGAUUAUUGCCACAAAUAUCCAAAGCCAACAACAGAGCCGACCCAAAAAUCCCUUUUCUGAAAAGGUUGAAACCGAAGAAAACCGAACCUCUAAUUUUAGUCCCUAACCAAGCAACAAGAAACCUAAUUCAAACCUUCACCUCCUACACCAUUCUCAACACAAUCCUCCUCCAAACAGUCAUAGCUUUGAUUCGGUCAAACAAAAACCAGAUGUGGCGGAGAUUAGAGCAAAUGGCUCAAACAAACCCUAGCCGCCGUUAUCCUCACUCGGACAUCUCAUAUCUAUUCGGAUCUGCUGCUAAUCGUCACGACAAGCAGUGACCCCAGCCCCACCAAUCUUCUUUUGACUUCCACCACCCGUCGUAGGAGCCCCUCUGACAAUCGAGCCGAGAGUUUCCUUAUGUCCUGUAGCGUCCCGUCCCGGACGUCUCGGCGUCCGGCGACCAUUGACGCUCGUUCGUGCCUCCUCCCGGCCGAACCUCCAUAUUUUUCGCGAUUUAACAUAGAAUUGCCUUUACGAGGCCUAAUUCUAUAAUCGCUUUCUUUUUACCCAGCGGAAGUCUUUCUACACUUGGUUUAAUUCCAACCAAUCUUUGUACCGGUUUUAUCGUCCUUGUCCCUAAGACUUAGAUCUUCCUUAACUCGGUCAAGACAUGCAUAUUGUUCGCUAACCAUUCUAAGUCUAACGAUUGCAUAUUCCUUUAUCCUUAAUCCAACGGCCGAUUCUCAAACGUCUAUCUUAACUAAUAAGUAAGAUUUGUUACAUACCUUGGCCAACAUGCGGAUGCGAUUCCUCUUCUAUCCGUCCAUUGAUCCUUCCCUUAGCCAUUUUGUUGCCUUAUUCCAUUCGUACAACGAUCCUUAACCAAUCAUGUAUUGAUGGACCAAUCUCUAUCGUUACUUAGCCAUACAUCCAACCAACCCCACUGGUCUAAGUCCCUACGAUAGAGAUUGGGGAUCGUACGUUUCCCUUGGUUCACGGUGGCCGAAUCAAGCUCUCGGCUCAUUGGUCCAUCCGUCCUCCAAACAUACGCCCCUUUGGUUUCAUUGUGGAAGAUCAAUGUUUCCGAUCCGGUCGUUUAUCACUACGACCACCUACGGUUUAUUAACCGUUUACCCGUCCGGUCCAUGGUGGUCGGUAAAGCCUUCGGCUUAUCGAUCCAUCCAUGCGAUCUGAACAAUAUCAUUAUCUCACCCAAGGGUCCGUGGAUUCAUCCAUCGGAUUAUCGUAGGCUAGCCCAUGAAAUCAUUCGUCCGUCGGCCUUUGGUUUGCUCGCGGGUCCAACAUCUGUUUUGUCCACCGGUUCUCACCGUGGACUUUCCUGUUGGUUAUCCGUCGAGUCACCAUUGGUCUUACUGAUUUCUAAUCGGUUUCACCAUUGGCCAUGGCGAUUGAUACAUAAAGACGGCCACGAUAUUAGAUUCUUGCAUGGUGAACCACGUCACUUACCCAUUCUCGGUGCUUACUCCCUUUACCGGUGAGAUUGCAUCCAUGGGCGACCCUUGGGUGUGUUCGGUUGCACUUACCCUCGUGCUUCCUCGAACACCUUUGAAAGACCCCGGUCCGGACUGCCUAAGUCCGGAGAGGUUCUCUUCGACCAAACCACUAAGUGAUCCGAUCCUUAGUCAAAUUUUAGGGCCAUUUCCUUAAGACAAUCCGUCUUACGAUAUUCUGAGAUUCGUUACUUAGAGUCAAUAUGCGAUAUUAGAGUAAACAAAGAAUCGAAUACUUUAUUAGAUAUUUAAAAGGAUUCGAUACAACUUAUGAGUUUGCAUAUAAGCUAUUACAAGUCAUAUAACCGAUCCUAUUCUAUCCGAUUCAUCACCACCCAUCUUCCCGGCCUUGAGUCUCUCACGCCUAAGCCAAGUCCUUCCCACGAUCACCAUCCUUUCCUGAAAGUCAAAGAGGCAUAAGUAUCCGUUUUACUUAUUAUAUGCAAGUUCAUGCAAUGCUCUCUAAGCCUUUUAACCACCCGGAACGAAGAACAGAUCGGAGAGUGGAAGUAUACGCAUCAGUUCGGCCGAUUCACGGUAGAUCUUAACAGAUCCGCCGAGCCGCAUCUCCAUUUCAACCGAUCCGCCAUUCAAACCAAGUUUAUGCAUGAUAUGAAUGAUCCCCUGAUACUACAAUAUCACCCUAUUCGUUCCGGACUUCUUCUAAGUCAUCGGAACAAUUCCUAGGCUAGAUCAUACGUAUCAUAUCUCCUUAGGUUCGGACACAAAGUCUAGAACCGUCUCACCUUCGAUCGCACCGAUCGUAACUCUUUCUUAAGUGUUUUCUCUCAAGAUGUUCUCCGAGAGUUUCUGUAUUUUUCUCUAAGUUUUUCCGUGUCCGAAAUCGCCCCAAAUGCCUUGUAUUUAUAGAGUUUCGUUUGGAAAACCGCUUCCCAACCGUUUCCCUAGAAGGCACCCUUUCGUUCCAUAACUCUGUUGUAACCGUCAACCGCAACCGCCCAACCGCUCCUACGUAACCGCCCAACCGUCCAAUAGUUAUCUGAGCUUAGCUGAGCUACCCGGCAGCUGGUCGAGCUAGCUGAGCUACUCAACAGUUACCCGAGCUUAGCUGAGCUACCCGGCGGUACUUCGAGCUUAGUUGAGCUGUACGGGAGCUGGUUUGGCUAUUUAGCGUGCAUUAUUCCCCUUCUCCGAGCUGAUGGGCAGCUCUUAUCUAGACUUGUCCGAGUUUCUCCUCCUUUUCUCGGACCAAGUCUCAUCCGACGAUCCUAUCGAGGAUCGCGGGCGUUACAAGUCUCCCCCCCUUGAAUGGGAUUCGUCCCCGAAUCCGUCUCAAGUUGAUCUUUACCCAUCUCUUUAAACCACUUAGGAAAAUCAGCCUUCAUUUUAUUUUCGGUUUCCCAAGUAGUUUCUUCGCGGCCUCCACAAUCCCAUAACACUUUUAUCAUGCUAAUUCUUUUCCGCCUUGUCCCCUUUUCCAUUCGAUCAACAAUCCGAAUUGGAUUUGCUUCCACCGUUAAGUUUUCUUUUAACUCCGAAGGAACAUCUUCUACUCGCUCCUCGUGUUCACUUAGGCAUUUCCUUAGUUGUGAAACGUGGAAAACCUUGUGAAACGCAUCUAACUUUGGCGGAAGUUUGUGUUUGUAUGCCACAACCCCUACUCGUUCGAUCACCUUGUAUAGGCCAACAUACCUUGGACUCAACUUUUUCCUUGUUGAAAAUCGUCCUUUGCCCUUAUACGUUACGACCUUAAGAUACACCAAGUCUCCUACUUGGAAUUCCAACUCCUUACGACGCUUAUCCGCAUAGCUUUUCUGUCGGUUUUGGGCCUCCUUUAGUUUGAUCUUUAGGAACUUCAUCUUUCGGUGGUUUCAUCCAUAAUCUUUGGACCAAACAGCAUGCGUUCGCCCACCGGUGUCCAACACAGCGGCGUCCGACAUGCUCAUCCGUACAACGCCUCAUAAGGUGACAUGCCAAUACUAGCUUGGUAGCUAUUGUUAUAGGCAAACUCCACCAACCUUAAGUACUUCUCCCAAUUCCCACCCCAAUCCAAGACACAUGCACGUAACAUGUCCUCGAGGGUUUGAAUCGUUCGUUCGGAUUGCCCAUCCGUUUGCGGGUGGUACGCCGUACUUAGGUUCACCCUCGUCCCUAAAGCUUUUUGAAAAGCCUUCCAGAAAUGCGAUGUGAACCUUGUAUCCCGAUCCGAUACAAUGCUUACCGGCACUCCAUGUAAUCGGACUAUCUCGUCGAUAUAUCUUGCGGCUAUAUCUUCGGCUCCAUCCGUUUUGGAGAUUGCUAUGAAGUGUGCGGACUUAGUCAAUCUGUCCACCACCACCCAAACCACAUUAUGCUUAGACUUUAUCCCCGUAGGCAACCCGGUAACAAAGUCCAUCGUUACAUGGUCCCAUUUCCAUUCGGGCAUGGGUAAGUUUUGUACUAACUCACUUGGUACUUGAUGUUCCGCCUUAACAAGUUGGCACGUUGAACACUUACCCACCCAUGCGGCUACAUCCUUCUUCAUCCCGACCCAAUGGUAAUACCUUUUUAGGUCUCGGUACAUCUUAUUGGACCCGGGGUGAAUCGAGAACUUUGAUUGGUGCGCUUCCUUAAGGAUUUCUCCCUUCAAACCCUUGUCAUUCGGCACACAUACACGACCGUUCACCACUAUGGUACCAUUGUUCGAGGUUUGGUACUCCAUUUUAUUAUUCUUCGCCCAAGUUUUCAACUCCUCGUCCGUUUCUUGGGCCAAACGAAUUCUACUAAGUAGAUCGGCUUGAUCGGCCGCACCUAAACCCAAUGGUUCAAGAUCCUUGGAUAAUGCAUUUAAAUGCAAUGUCCCCAUCAUGUUAACCAAGUCCACUUGGUUUUUCUCCGCUUCUACGUCGAAACGUCUCCUACUUAAGGCAUCGGCGACUUGAUUUGCCUUUCCCGGAUGAUAGGCAAUAUCUAAGUCGUAAUCCGCCACAAACUCCAUCCAUCUUCUUUGCCUUAGAUUUAACUCCGGCUGGGUGAAUAUGUACUUAAGACUCUUGUGGUCGGUGAAGAUUUGUACUUUGGCUCCGUAAAGAUACAAUCGCCAAAUCUUCAAGGCAAACACCACCGCAGCCAUUUCUAAGUCAUGCGUAGGGUAAUUUCCUUCGUGUUUACGCAAUUGCCUUGAAGCAUAAGCGAUUACACUACCCUUUUGCAUCAACACGCAUCCUAGUCCCGUGAUCGAUGCAUCCGUAUAGACCAUGUAAGUUUCACCUUCCUCCAGUAACACCAAUACCGGAGCGCACGUUAACAUUGCCUUUAACUCGGAAAAACUCUUCUCACAUUCCUCCGACCAUUGGAACUUAGUAUCCUUUCCUGUUAGUCGAGUCAUCGGUUGGGACAUACUCGCAAAGCCCUUCACAAACCUUCGGUAAUAACCCGCCAAACCGAGGAAACUUGUAACACCCGCGUCCCGCGAUCCUAAAGGGGGCCGGUUUGUUUUAGGAAAAAACUAGAUCAUGGUCGAGAAAGACCAAUGAAUAAGUUAACCCAAGGAAGAAAUGAAACGUUUAAGUCAUGAAAAGGGUAGAUGACAUAGACGACAUCGGGAUAAUCUAGUGAUCAUGAAGAAAUGAUCACGGAAAGAUUGGGAAUGGCGUAGUCAUGGCCAAGAAAACGGACCAAAAGACUUAGCCGGAAAGAACGCGAAAGAACGUUCGAGCUAAACCAGCUAGGUGAGCUGGACAAGCUGGAUGAACUAGCUAGCUCAGCUAGGUGAGCUAAACCAGCUGCAUGACUAGCUAGCUCAGUUAGGUGAGCUGACCGACAGCUCAACCGAGCUCGGUGAACUGAUCGAGUACUAACCCAGCUGGGUGGUCCGGUCAGCUGACACUCGAGCUGGUGGACUGUGGUAGCUCGGGAUGAAGAGGUGUAAGGUCGAGCGGUUACCGACGAACGGUUACCGUUGGCCAAAGGGUGGAUAAGGCCAAACGGUUACGAUCGGAAAGACGCAACCUUUCAAAAGGGUGCAACGAAUGGAUGUGAUGUUUCAGAAACACACCCAUUCGGCCCCUAUAUAAGGGAGGACGUCCAAGGGCCUCACAAUCAAUCCUCACACACUUCACAAUCACCACAACAAUCCAAAACAAGUCCCAAAACACUCUACGAAGUGUUGGUCGGAAAGGGGGUGCGGCUCGGCGAGUAUCUCCGGAAUCGGAAUGGAUUCUCGGAGCCUCGACCGAACUGAUGCGCAUGCUACCUCCCGAUCCAACGGUUCGAUAGAAUGUAUUGAGGGAUGGAUGGGAUGGACCGAUCGUCUUAGAGACGGAUCGGAUCGGACAAACUGAUCGUCGUACGGAUGGAUCGGAUCGGAGAAGAAGACGGAUCCGGAUAGACCGUCGCACAGACGGAUUGAUCGACCGGGAUAGGUGGAUCGAAAAUCGUGUUAACAAGUCGGAUCGACGUAUGACCGGAUAUGUGUACGAUCGGAUAAACGGAUAAAGGUUUAGAUCGGCGGAUUGAUCGAUCGUACCGAUCGGCGGGAUGACCGAUGGUACGUAUCGGAGAUCUUGUCGAGGGAACAUGGCGGAUUACAUGAUCGAGGAUUCAAUGGGAACCGCCGAAGGGUUUGACGACUUGAUUGAUGGUUCGGGUCGAUAGCUCGAUUAUGGGGUCGAUGGAUCGUCCGUUCUAUGAAUCAUAUCGUCGAGGGAAGGACACGAAAAGGAAAUGGAUCGGCAAAUCUAAGAUUGUCAAUAUGGAAGUAUUGACGAAUCCAAAGAUAGUCCGAUAGAUGAUAUGGUUAACGGGAAGUUAAUCGGGAAGGCGUAUAAGGGAAACGUGUUCGAAGAAGCACGAGGAUAAGUGCAACCGAACACACCCAAGGGUCGCCCAUGGAUGCAAUCUCACCGGUAAAGGGAGUAAGCACCGAGAAUGGGUAAGUGACGUGGUUCACCAUGUAAGGAUCUAAUAUCGCGGCCGCCUUCAUGUAUCAAUCGCCAUGGCCAAUGGUGAAAACCGAUUGGGAAUCGGUAACACCAAUGGUGACUCGACGGAUAACCAACAGGAAAGUCCACGGUGAGAGUCGGUGGACAAAACGGAUGUUGGACCCGCGAGCAACCCAAAGGCCGAUGGACGAAUGAUUUCAUGGGCUAGCCUACGAUAAUCCGAUGGAUGAAUCCACGGACCCUUGGGUGUGAUAAUGAUAUUGUUCGGAUCGCAUGGAUGGAUCGGUAAGCCGAAGGCGUUAUGACCACCAUGGACCGAACGGGUAAACGGUUAGUAGACCGUGGGCGGUCGUAGUAAUAAACGAUCGGAUCGGAAACAUGGAUGGUUCGAUAAGCCGAGGGCUUGAUCGUCCACCAUGAAACCGAAGGGGCGUACGUUUGGAGGACGGAUGGACCAAUGAGCCAAGAGCUUGAUUUGGCCACCGUGAACCAAGGAAAACGUACGAUCCCCAAUCUCUAUCGUAGGGACUUAGACCAGUGGGGUUGGUUGGAUGAAUGGCUAAGUAACGAUAGAGAUUGGUCCAUCAAUACACGAUUGGUUAAGAAUCGUUGUACGAAUGGAAUAAGGCGACGAGAAGGCUAAGAGAAGGAUCAAUAGACGGAUCGAAGAGGAAUCAAAUCCGCAUGUAGGCCAAGGUAUGUAAACGCAUCUAACUUAUUAGUUAAGAUAGACGUUUGGGAAUUGGCCGUUGGAUUAGGGGUACAAAGAAUAUGCAAUCGUUAGACUUAGAAUGGUUAGCGAACAAAUUGCAUGACUUGGCCGAGUUAAUGAUCGAUCUAAAGUCUAAGGGACAAAGAUGAUCAAACCGGUACAAGGGAUGGUUGGAAUUAGACCAAGGGUAUAAAGACUUCCGCUGUGUUAAGAGAUAAGGAUUAUAGAAUUAAGCCUCGUAAAGGCAAUUCUAUGUUAAAUCGUGAAAAAUAUGGAGGUUCGGCCGGGAAGUGGCGCGAACGUGAACCUUGGGUCGCCGGACGCCGAGACAUCCGGGACGGGGUCUCACAAGUUGGUAUCAGAGCAUGCUUGAUCCUAGGAUGGAUAAGUGCUCGGGAAAAUGUCAUGGUAAAUGACAACUAAAGGUGUAACUUAAAUGAUUGAGUCCUCGGGAAACCGAAUUAUGAACUUGAACAGUAGUGUUGGUGAGCCAGAAGGGAAUUGAGGCAAGAACGCGAUUACAUGCUUGGAAACCAAAAGAGUUUGCCAAGAUGAAUUGGUUAAGCCAAGAUGAUUACCCAAGGGGCAAGAACUACACGUGUAUCAAGUGGAUAAUUAUUCGGAGAGAAGGGCUGAUUAUAGAAGUUGAAAAUGUUAUGCUAAGUGUUUGGCGGAUAAGGAAGUUGAGGUGAAUGAGAUCGAUGUGCUUGAGGAAAGAUUACCCAAGGCAUGAUCGGGCACCAAGAUAUGACCCUUAUAGUCAAACGACUUAACAUAACGGGGAAAUAGGUAUUGAUCUAUUCGGAGAAUGGCCAAGAUCAAUAGAAAUUAGAUCUCGUCGGAAUUUGACGAAGAUCGGGAAAGACUUGAUCUAUUCGAUUGAAAAGAUGAAGGGGUAUUGACCGAGUCCGGUAAAGGGCCAAGGUCGGGAAUUAUUGACCAAGUCCGGAAAGGACCAAGGUCGGGAAUUAUUGACCGAGUCCGGUAAGGGACUAAGGUCGGGAAAAGUGACCGAGUCCGGUGGGGACCAAGGUCGGGAAAAUUAACCGAGUCCGUAUAGGACCAAGGUUGGGAAAUAUUGACCGAGUCUGAUUUGGACCAAGGUCGAAAAUUUGUUCUACUCGGGAUUGGACUAGGAUGGGAAACAUUUGAUCGCGUUCGGAAAAUGGAACAAGAUCGGGAAAAUAGAUUGAGUCCGGUAAUUGGACCAAGAUCGGGAAAAUGGAUCAAGUCCGAGAGAGGACCAAGAUCGGGAAACUUGAUCAAACUCGGAAAUAGAUAUUUGGUCAAGUAUGGAAUCUAAAGUCUUGGGAAGACUAAAGAUGGGGAAACGUUAAGGAGUAACGAAUUUUAAGGGGGGUAGACUUGUAACACCCGCGUCCCGCGAUCCUAAAGGGGGCCGGUUUGUUUUAGGAAAAAACUAGAUCAUGGUCGAGAAAGACCAAUGAAUAAGUUAACCCAAGGAAGAAAUGAAACGUUUAAGUCAUGAAAAGGGUAGAUGACAUAGACGACAUCGGGAUAAUCUAGUGAUCAUGAAGAAAUGAUCACGGAAAGAUUGGGAAUGGCGUAGUCAUGGCCAAGAAAACGGACCAAAAGACUUAGCCGGAAAGAACGCGAAAGAACGUUCGAGCUAAACCAGCUAGGUGAGCUGGACAAGCUGGAUGAACUAGCUAGCUCAGCUAGGUGAGCUAAACCAGCUGCAUGACUAGCUAGCUCAGCUAGGUGAGCUGACCGACAGCUCAACCGAGCUCGGUGAACUGAUCGAGUACUAACCCAGCUGGGUGGUCCGGUCAGCUGACACUCGAGCUGGUGGACUGUGGUAGCUCGGGAUGAAGAGGUGUAAGGUCGAGCGGUUACCGACGAACGGUUACCGUUGGCCAAAGGGUGGAUAAGGCCAAACGGUUACGAUCGGAAAGACGCAACCUUUCAAAAGGGUGCAACGAAUGGAUGUGAUGUUUCAGAAACACACCCAUUCGGCCCCUAUAUAAGGGAGGACGUCCAAGGGCCUCACAAUCAAUCCUCACACACUUCACAAUCACCACAACAAUCCAAAACAAGUCCCAAAACACUCUACGAAGUGUUGGUCGGAAAGGGGGUGCGGCUCGGCGAGUAUCUCCGGAAUCGGAAUGGAUUCUCGGAGCCUCGACCGAACUGAUGCGCAUGCUACCUCCCGAUCCAACGGUUCGAUAGAAUGUAUUGAGGGAUGGAUGGGAUGGACCGAUCGUAUUAGAGACGGAUCGGAUCGGACAAACUGAUCGUCGUACGGAUGGAUCGGAUCGGAGAAGAAGACGGAUCCGGAUAGACCGUCGCACAGACGGAUUGAUCGACCGGGAUAGGUGGAUCGAAAAUCGUGUUAACAAGUCGGAUCGACGUAUGACCGGAUAGGUGUACGAUCGGAUAAACGGAUAAAGGUUUAGAUCGGCGGAUUGAUCGAUCGUACCGAUCGGCGGGAUGACCGAUGGUACGUAUCGGAGAUCUUGUCGAGGGAACAUGGCGGAUUACAUGAUCGAGGAUUCAAUGGGAACCGCCGAAGGGUUUGACGACUUGAUUGAUGGUUCGGGUCGAUAGCUCGAUUAUGGGGUCGAUGGAUCGUCCGUUCUAUGAAUCAUAUCGUCGAGGGAAGGACACGAAAAGGAAAUGGAUCGGCAAAUCUAAGAUUGUCAAUAUGGAAGUAUUGACGAAUCCAAAGAUAGUCCGAUAGAUGAUAUGGUUAACGGGAAGUUAAUCGGGAAGGCGUAUAAGGGAAACGUGUUCGAAGAAGCACGAGGAUAAGUGCAACCGAACACACCCAAGGGUCGCCCAUGGAUGCAAUCUCACCGGUAAAGGGAGUAAGCACCGAGAAUGGGUAAGUGACGUGGUUCACCAUGUAAGGAUCUAAUAUCGCGGCCGCCUUCAUGUAUCAAUCGCCAUGGCCAAUGGUGAAAACCGAUUGGGAAUCGGUAACACCAAUGGUGACUCGACGGAUAACCAACAGGAAAGUCCACGGUGAGAGUCGGUGGACAAAACGGAUGUUGGACCCGCGAGCAACCCAAAGGCCGAUGGACGAAUGAUUUCAUGGGCUAGCCUACGAUAAUCCGAUGGAUGAAUCCACGGACCCUUGGGUGUGAUAAUGAUAUUGUUCGGAUCGCAUGGAUGGAUCGGUAAGCCGAAGGCGUUAUGACCACCAUGGACCGGACGGGUAAACGGUUAGUAGACCGUGGGCGGUCGUAGUAAUAAACGAUCAGAUCGGAAACAUGGAUGGUUCGAUAAGCCGAGGGCUUGAUCGUCCACCAUGAAACCGAAGGGGCGUACGUUUGGAGGACGGAUGGACCAAUGAGCCAAGAGCUUGAUUUGGCCACCGUGAACCAAGGAAAACGUACGAUCCCCAAUCUCUAUCGUAGGGACUUAGACCAGUGGGGUUGGUUGGAUGAAUGGCUAAGUAACGAUAGAGAUUGGUCCAUCAAUACACGAUUGGUUAAGAAUCGUUGUACGAAUGGAAUAAGGCGACGAGAAGGCUAAGAGAAGGAUCAAUAGACGGAUCGAAGAGGAAUCAAAUCCGCAUGUAGGCCAAGGUAUGUAAACGCAUCUAACUUAUUAGUUAAGAUAGACGUUUGGGAAUUGGCCGUUGGAUUAGGGAUACAAAGAAUAUGCAAUCGUUAGACUUAGAAUGGUUAGCGAACAAAUUGCAUGACUUGGCCGAGUUAAUGAUCGAUCUAAAGUCUAAGGGACAAAGAUGAUCAAACCGGUACAAGGGAUGGUUGGAAUUAGACCAAGGGUAUAAAGACUUCCGCUGUGUUAAGAGAUAAGGAUUAUAGAAUUAAGCCUCGUAAAGGCAAUUCUAUGUUAAAUCGUGAAAAAUAUGGAGGUUCGGCCGGGAAGUGGCGCGAACGUGAACCUUGGGUCGCCGGACGCCGAGACAUCCGGGACGGGGUCUCACAAAACUCCUAAUCUCGGUGGCAUUCUUUACCGUAACUUUAUUCAAUCCCUGAUAGUCAAUGCAUAGCCUAAAGCUACCAUCUUUUUUCUUUACAAACAAGACCGGUGCACCCCAUGGUGAACUACUUGGUCUAAUAAAUCCUUUUUCCAACAACUCCUCUAAUUGUUUCUUUAGCUCCGCCAUUUCCGCCGGUGCCAUCCGGUACGGAGCUUUAGAUAUCGGAGUUGUCCCCGCUUCGAGUUCAAUCAUGAAUGGGUCGGACCGGUCUGGUGGUAAACCACUCACGGCCUCAAACACAUCCGAGAACUCGUUUGCGAUCAGAAUGUCUUUCAACUCCGCAUUUGCCCCAACUUCGUGGGUUGUGAUUGUGGCUAUGUAUGCCUCACACCCUUUCUCGAGCAUCUUUUCCGCUUGGAUUGCCGAGAUUACUAAACUUCCCGAAGUUGUCCUUAUUCCUUGGAAUUUCAACAUUCCUUCCUCCCUCUCGAAUUGAAUCCGUCCUCGGUGGCAAUCAAUAUGUGUCUUAUACUUUCCCAACCAGUCCAUACCCAAAAUAACAUCGUAUUUCUUGAGUUGAACAACGAUUAAGUCCGUAGGCAUAUUGACACCGUUGACUACAACCGAGAUUUCCUGAACCACACCGGACGGAUACAUUGCUUGUCCGCCGGCGGCUAUAACCAUUCCAUAUUCGGUGUUUGGUUCUUUCUUGAACCCACCUUUUUCAACCAUCUCGGAACUCACAAAACAAUGUGUAGCUCCAUAAUCAAAUAAGGUGUGUGAUUCUACAUCACCUAUACACAAGGUCCCUACACAUUCCCCUAGAAUGCUGAGUACCCCAAUCCGUUUAUGCAUGAUGCGAUGCAAUUUACGAAUUAACAUAAAGAUCACAAGGACUUACCAGUGAUCGCCCUGAAGUUCCCGGCAUUGUUAGCAUCCUCCGACAGUUCGUAAACUCGCGGUGCUAUGGCCUGCCUCUUAGGCGGAGGCGGUAAUCCGUUUCCGCUACGGUUUGCCUUUUGUGCGGCUUGCUUUUCCACUUCCAGCUUCGGACACUCCCUCUUAAAGUGUCCCGCUUUCCCACAAUGGUAACAAGUCUUUGGUUCUUCAGCGAGAACUUUUGGUUGCCCCGAAUCCAUCCUUGGACAGUUUUGAAUCCCGUGGUCCUUACUUCCACACAGGCCACAUGCACCAAUGGCCUUCCAGCAAAUCCCACCAUGAUUCUUUCCACAAGUCAAGCAUUCUCCGCGCUUAGCACCCGACUUAGUGUCAUCCACCUUGUCCCAUUUCCUCUUCUUAUCCGCGGACUUGCUUGGUUGGCUAGAACGAUUCGGAAACUUCUCACGAUUCAUGAGUUUUUCUUCCUCAAUUCCGAUUUCGAUCAUAGCCGCCCUUUCCACCAAUUCGGAGACCGAAUUAAAGGUACGGAUUAAGCAAUGGUUACGGAUCUCCACCCUUAACCCACAGAUGAAACGGCGCACUUGAGACUGCUCAUCCUCGAGCUCUCUUCCCACGUAUCGCCUAAGGCGAUUGAACUCUUCAUCGUAUUCUCGCACCGUUCGGUUGCCUUGUAUCAAAUCCAAGUAGGCACACUCAAGCCGGUCCCAUGCUUCCGGAGGGAAAAAUUUAUUGUUAAACUCCUCCUCAAAGUUCGCAAAGGUUUGGAUUUGAUCACCCUUACGUUUCUCCACGGUGAGCCACCAAUUAUGUGCAUCCCCUUCCAAGAAGUGGAUUGCAAUGUCCUUCCGGUAAUCCUCCGGGCAUCGAGUGGAGUUAAAGUUUCUUUUGAGCCGAGUCCUCCACUCCAUCGCCACGAUCGGGUCGGAACUCCCCGUGAAGUGACUUGUUCCCAACUUCGAGACGUGCUGGAGUAAACUCAAGUAGUCUCCCCUCUUCCUUGAAAAGUUCGUAGGCAGAUUGACUUCAACAAUCUCCAAAUCUACGUCCGCAUCCGCGUCUGUUUUGUUCUCCUUCACUUGCACCACAGGAUCCGGUACAAGUGCCUUAGUCAAUGCGGUCAUUUGUACCAUCAUAGCUUUCAUCAUUUCCCAUUGUUCUUGGGCCGAUGGAAGUGCGUUCGGAUUCUCCUUCCCAUCCGUUGCACAACUGUUCUCCGGAGUUUGAUGAACCGGAGACUUUUGUCCAGCCACAGGUCCGGCCGGAUUUGUCCCAUCAAGCAUUGCUUCGACACUUGUUUCCUUGGUAACUUGUGUCUCCUCGACAACCAACGUCUCCUCUACGAUGUCCUUACCCUUAUCCUUCUUACUCUUUCCCGUUUUGUUGCUCUUACCCAUCUGCGAGAAAUUUCAAAGUUAGUUAUGGUAACUCAUAGUAAAUCGCAAGAGAGUAAGAAACAACUACCGUGAGGACCCAUAAGCCGAUGAGUGGUGAUUCCCAAAACCCGCACUAAUGGUCCUAGAACCAAGCAUGCUCUGAUACCAAUUUGAAAGACCCCGGUCCGGACUGCCUAAGUCCGGAGAGGUUCUCUCUGACCAAACCACUAAGUGAUCCGAUCCUUAGUCAAAUUUUAGGGCCAUUUCCUUAAGACAAUCCGUCUUACGAUAUUCUGAGAUUCGUUACUUAGAGUCAAUAUGCGAUAUUAGAGUAAAUAAAGAAUCAGAUACUUUAUUAGAUAUUUAAAAGGAUUCGAUACAACUUAUGAGUUUGCAUAUACGCUAUUACAAGUCAUAUAACCGAUCCUAUUCUACCCGAUUCAUCACCACCCAUCUUUCCGGCCUUGAGUCUCUCACGCCUAAGCCAAGUCCUUCCCACGAUCACCAUCCUUUCCUAAAAGUCAAAGAGGCAUAAGUAUCCGUUUUACUUAUUAUAUGCAAGUCCAUGCAAUGCUCUCUAAGCCUUUUAACCACCCGGAACGAAGAACAGAUCGGAGAGUGGAAGUAUACGCAUCAGUUCGGCCGAUUCACGGUAGAUCUUAACAGAUCCGCCGAUCCUCCGCCGAGCCGCAUCCCCAUUUCAACCGAUCCGCCAUUCGAACCAAGUUUAUGUAUGAUAUGAAUGAUCCCCCGAUACUACAAUAUCACUCUAAUCGUUCCGGACUUUUUCUAAGUCAUCGGAACAAUCCCUAGGCUAGAUCAUACGUAUCAUAUCUCCUUAGGUUCGGACACAAAGUCUAGAACCGUCUCACCUUCGAUCGCACCGAUCAUAACUCUCUCUUAAGUGUUUUCUCUCAAGAUGUUCUCCGAGAGUUUCUGUAUUUUUCUCUAAGUUUUUCCGUGUCCAAAAUCGCCCCAAAUGCCUUGUAUUUAUAGAGUUUGUUUGGAAAACCGCUUCCUAACCGUUUCCCUAGAAGGUACCCUUUUGUUCCAUAACCGUCUGUUGUAACCGUUAACCGCAACCGCCCAACCGCUCCUACGUAACCGCCCAACCAUCCAAUAGUUAUCCGAGCUUAGCUGAGCUACCCGGCAGCUGGUCGAGCUAGCUGAGCUACUCAACAGUUACCCGAGCUUAGCUGAGCUACCCGGCGGUACUUCGAGCUUAGUUGAGCUGUACGGGAGCUGGUUUGGCUACUUAGCGUGUAUUAUUCCCCUUCUCCGAGCUGAUGGGCAGCUCCUAUCUAGACUUGUCCGAGUUCCUCCUCCUUUUCUCGUACCAAGUCUCAUCUGACGAUCCUAUCGGUCUUUCCCUUAUACGCCUUUCCGAUUAACUUCCCGUUAACCAUAUCAUCUAUCGGUCUAACUUUGGAUUCGUCAAUACUUCCAUAUUGACAAUCUUAGAUUUGCUGAUCCAUUUCCUUUUCGUGUCCUUCCCUCGACGAUAUGAUUCAUAGAACGGACGAUCCAUCGAUCCCAUAAUCGAGCUAUCGAUCCGAACCAUCAAUCAAGUCGUCGAACUAUCCGUCCAUCCAACUCCUUAAUCGAAUUGUCGUUCCAUCGAUCCGAUCCAUCGAUCGAUACCAUGAUACGAUCAUUUGGUCGACCCGACCAUCUUACCCGAUCCGUCCCGUCUCUCCGACGAACGAUCCAUCCGUUCCGAUCCGUCUCUCCGACAAUCGUUCCGAUCAAACCAUCCAAACAUUCCAUCGAACCGUUGGAUCGGGAGGUAGCAUGCGCAUCAGUUCAGUCGAGGCUCCGAGAAUCCGUUCCGAUUCUGGAGAUACCUGCCGAGCCGCACCCCCUUUCCGACCAACAACUUCGUGGCAUGUUUAGGACUAUUUUCGGAUUGGGUUUUUGAUUGUGAAGUGUGUGUGGAUCAUUGUGAAGCCCUUUGGAUGUCCACCCCUUAUAUAGGGCCGAAUGGGUGCCUUCCCGAAGAAGCACAUCCGUUCUUUGCACCCUUCCGAAGGGUUGCAUCUUUUCGAUCGUAACCGCUCGGCCUUAUCCAUCCUUUGGCCAACGGUAACCGUUCGUCGAUAACCGCUCGACCUUACACCUCUUCAUCCCCGAGCUACCAUAGUCCACCAGCUCGAGUGUUAGCUGACCGGACUACCUAGCUGGGUCAGUACUCGAUCAGUUCACCGAGCUCGGUUGAGAUGUCGGUCAGCUCACCUAGCUGAGCUAGCUAGUCCUCCAGCUGGUUUAGCUCACCUAGCUGAGCUAGCUAGUUCGUCCAGCUUGUCCAGCUCACCUAGCUGGAUUAACUCGGACUCUUUUGUCCGUUCUUUCCGGCUAAGUCUUUCGGUCCGUUUUCUCGGCCUUGACUACGCCAUUCUCAAUCUUUCCAUGAUCAUUUUUCCAUGAUCACUAGAUUAUCGCGAAACCGUCUAAGUCAUCUACCCCUUUCAUGACUUAAACGUUUCAUUCCUUCCUUGGGUUAACUUAUUCAUUGGUCUUUCUCGACCAUGAUCUAGUUUUCCCUAAAAUAAACCGGCCCCCUUUAGGAUCGCGGGACGCGGACGUUACAUGUCCCCUCCUCCGGAAUCCUUAACCAGUGGUGGUACAAUGAGGAGAAAUCACGAGAUCGUCGGGAAGUUCGCUAAAACUAGCAUCCGAAGGCGGAUCAUCCACACCGCAUCACCGUUGGAGAAAAAUAACCAUCACCAACUGAUUGAACCGCUUGCCUCAUCAUUGACGUUGAAGAUCUGAAACGAAACAGAAAAAAACAAAGCUUCUAUAGAUCUACUUUUAGGAGAUAGAAUCGAGGGUUUUUUGCUGGGAACGAUGUCCUCUAUAUUUUUUCUUUAUUUACUUCGUUACAUCUACUCCACGAAAACUCUUUUUAGAAAUAAUAGCUUUUGAGUAAUAUAAAAAGAGAAAAUUUCAAAGAAAGACAAGGGUCUCAUGGGGUUCUUAUGACUAUCUCAAAGUGUCUCAUUUGAGAAUCCCUCCUAACUCCCUCUCUCUAUCUCUUUUUUUUUUUGUUUUUUAACUGUAAGAAACCCACUAAAGAACCUUCCAAUGGAGAUGCUCGAAUUGUGCGUCUGCUGGCUCUGGUGGAACCCACAACCCCGGAGCUAUGCCUCCUCUAUGCUCAUGCUUUGAUUUUGUUUGCGUUUGUUGUGUACCACCCGAGGUUGUUGGAUUUUCUCCGAUCAUAUUUUUCUUAUUCCCUUUGUGAAUAAGACAACAUUAGAACAUUGUUAAGGUCGAUGGUGGCUUGGUUUCAGCCAAGAAGUGGUGGUUGAUUUGCCUUGCUCAUCAUUUUUUUUUGGGUUUCUUCGGAUCUUCAGAGCAGUUUUAGAUCCAGUUCGUGAAAGUAUUUUUGGUCACUUUUGACAAGUUUGCUCAUCAAUUUUUGUUGGAUGUUAGUGAUUCUGCUUUGUUUUGUUCUCUUGAGUUUUUGGUGCAUAGUGUGUGACAAAGUUUCGAUUUGUGGUUUUGUUCAUUCGGAUGAGAAUUCUUCACUGAGCCGCCCUCUACUAGUCAUUAUCUGCGUUUUUCUGAUAUGUGGUUUUGGCUCCAAGGCAAAGCAGCGUGUUUGAUUUUCAGGUCUUCUCUUGGAAGGACUUAACCCAUCUCUUGUUUGUAGGUGGUCAAGAUCAGGUCUACGAGUGUCCGCGGGUAAGACUUGUUGAUCCUAUUUGGAAAAUAUUCAGUCGUUCUCUCAAGGUUUAUCCUUGAACCCUUGUCAUCUCUAGUGUUUUGAUUUCUCGGGGUGGUCGUUGUGGAGUUGUUUCGGGUUAUGUUUGCGUUGUUGUCACACGUUUGUUUCUUCCUUUGUUGUUCUAGCUACGAGUUUGAGUUCUACCGUCGUUCGGGUUGCCUCGCCUCCCAGAAGCUUCCUAGUUCUUGGCUCUCCGUCUUUUUUCUUUUGUUGCAGCUUUGGCUUUACCGAAUUCUAUACAAAAGUUUGAGUUAUGAUGUUCGUUCCAGUAUAUCAAUUUUAAUGCUUUGAUCCAUUAUCUUUACCUUUAAUUUUUUUAUUUUGCUCCAAUUUCUUUGUUUUCCUUGUUUCCUUCUUUUGGGCGUUACCUUCCAAAGAUUUUUUUAUUUUUUUUGGGAUUAUAUUUCUCUCUUUUGGGUUUUAGGGUGCGGAGAUUUCUUCAUUUUCUUUCAGCUUAGUUUAUUGUACCUUAAAUCUUUCUGAUUAUUUAUCAAGGAGAACACGAAAAAAAAAUUAUUCGGAGGUCUGCCACCAUAUGCGCCACCUAAAACUUUAAGAGCAUUUUUGAAAAUAAAUAUUUUCUGAAAUAUUGUUGAUAGGGGAUAUAUUUGAAAAAUGGUAUUGUAAAAGCUUUUAAACUAAAAGGGGAUGUUGUUGUUACCCUAGAGCUUUUAAAUUCUGACAUAACAUAAGCCGUUCCUAUUGGCUAUUGAUAUUAUCUUGUUAGUGAUAUUUUAAAAUAUGAUUCAAUUGAUUACAAACAAUUACUUGCAUUGUAUUAGUCUCUAUAUAUCUAUGAAAUCGUAGAACCAAUAGAACGACAAACUCAAUAGAAAUGACUUUUUAUUAAACACCAAAAAUGAUUAUUUGCUAGAUGAAUAAAGUUCCUCUAAUUUAGUUAGUAAUUUAAUUUUAAAGGGGAAAUUUCAAAAAAAAAAAAAAUACCCCAAAUAUUUUUAAUUUGGAUGUUUAAUACCUAAUAUUUUUGGUUGGAAUAAAAUACCUCAUUUAAAUAUUAUUGGUCUAAACACAUUAUUUAAAUUAUUUGUGGAUGGAAACCCGUACGUAAUCUAACAACCGUUAACUGGUGUUACAUAAUCAUUUAACGAUGUUAAAUCAUAACUUGAUAUAUUUAAAUAUAUAGAGACUAAUAUAUACUUAAGAAUUUCCUAGAAACCUCACAACUUUGUUUCUUGUAUACAAUUGCAAAUGAUGAUAAUUUCAAGCGAAUUUAGGUUCUUGAUAUCUAUGUGUCAUAUUUCUCUCAAAACACAUCACAGCAAAAUAGUGUUAGUUCCAUAUUUUCGUUCCAUUUAACUUUUACCUAAUUCAAAACACAUUAAUGGUUACGUGAACGUCUAAAUUCUGACAUCCACUUAUAUGCAUAACAUUUUUUUUUUCUUUUCGUCCUUCUCAUAAAUUAAUAAUAUAUGCAUGGAAAAAUCUUUCUCCAAAAUUUUGUUAUCCCACCUAACCUUCUAGAUAAUGAGUUUGAUUGGUGAACAAAAAUAAAGUAUUACAAGUUGUACAGUUUUUAUUUUUACCGAUCACAAAAACUUUAUCAAAAACGUUACUAAAAGUUUUACUCUUACCUUUUUUGUACAGCUUUCUCGUUCAAUUCUUUUAUACAGCUUAGCACUAUUUCGGUAAAGCUUACAGCUCCAGCUAACAGCUAAAAAAUUUGUACAGCUUUUGGUUACCAAUCAUACCUAAUAUUUACAAUAAGCAUGAAAAGGAUAUAACAAAAAUUGACUGUGUCAAAGAAAAAAAGCAAGGUUUCUUGGCCACGUCUGAAAAUGCGGGAAAAGGCCUUUGGGCCGUGAAAGUGAAACUUAUCAUCACUAUUUUAGUAUUUUCUUAUCAUCACUAGAUCGCUUCACUUCAUGGGUGAUACUUUAUCAUCACUAUUUUAGUAUUUUCUUGUAAUUUUAAAUUGCAUGCUCUCUCUUGGACUUGGUCCGCUAAUCACUUUACGAGGUCAUACCCAUUUGGACCCUAGUCCCUCUAGUCUCAAUAUCAUGCAAUCAGCUAUGUGAAUAGUAGUGGCGAGUAGAACUCGAACUCCUAUAUCGGUAUAUGUAUAGUGUUACCAUUACCAGUUUGUUUGUUUUUUUUAAAAUCACAAGUCGCUUGUCUUAAUCUCACAAAGUAAUUUCUAUACAUAGAUAGAAUAAACAAUGAUGUAACAAAUUAGCCCCAAAAAAGUGCUAAGAAAAUCACUAUUGAGUCAAAUGCAAGUAGCAAGUGGUACUGUGGUACUGUGGUAGAUACAUGACUACACCCAGUGACUUGGAUAAUAUUAUAGCCAAGCAAUUUUUUCAGGCAAGAAUAUUCGUAUUCACGAUAGCCAAGCAACACGUUUGCACCCCUUAUGCUACUUACUCUUGUUCAGUGUAUAGUUUUGUCUUUAUCCCUCUGUCGGCAGAGAAUAGAAGAAGGAUUCUUAACAAGUAUCAAUAGUGGACGACUUUUCUGUCCAAAUAAUAAUAACAACAUAUUUACAUAACAAUCUAAAUACAUAACAAUCUGAUAUGAUAAUAAUGUUUCAGUAAAGGAAUUCUAAAUAUCUAGAAGUUUAUGAAUGCGCUGUGUUUAUAGAAAUAUUAAAAAACUAGUGUAGUUUCCAUCUACGUUGAUUCAUAUUUUAGUUACAAUGAAUCCAACAACGGACCAUAAGGGGCCCGACGCAACACGUAUAAUAAAACUCUGAUACUUAUCUUCUUACUACUUUGUUUCUAUUAUGAUAAAUUUCCUUUAACUUUUUUCUUUUUUUUUUUUUUUUUUUUUUUUUUUUUUUUUUUUUUUAAUUUCCUUUAACUUUAGUUUUGAUAAAAUAUUAAUUGCCUUCUUUUUAUUCUACUACGGAGUAAUUUUUUGACUUUUCUCAUUCCCUAUCCUCUUCAAUUUCUAUAAAUAGAGGGCAUGCAGCGUAACAUUCUACUCAUCACUUAAUUAAUUAACAUACUAAGAGAGUUAUUAGAACUUGAAAAAAAAUGGCUUCCAAGGCUUUGAUUCUGUUAGGGCUCUUCGCAGUUCUUAUCGUCGUCUCCGAAGUGUCUGCCGCAAGGCAGUCGGGUACCUAAACUUAUUUAAUACAUUUCAGUCUUAAAAUAAACAAGAUAUAUGUUCGUGAGGCAUAUCAAACUUUAACUAACGUAAAAAAAAAAAAAAAAAUUUUUUUAACUAACGUACCAUUUGAUAAAUUAUCCAACUAUUUAUCAGAGCAUACUUCACCUAAGUGAUGUGGAAGCCCUAGUAAGUUUUGUGUAAAUUGUGUUUCGAACGUAUAUAUAAAAACUAAAGUUUCGAGUUUAUGUACCUAUUUAAGAAAAUAAUUUAAGCUGGGAAACAAAAUUGAAAUCAGGAAGAGGAAUUCAUAUUUGAUGUUCUUAAAAAUGUAUUUGAAAUUAAAUAACGUGUUUUGUUUUGGGCAGGCAUGGUGAAGCCAGAGAGUGAGGAAACUGUGCAACCUGAAGGACAUGGUGGUGGCCACGGAGGACAUGGUGGUCACGGAGGAGGCCACGGACAUGGAGGACACCACGGAGGAGGGGGCCACGGACUUGACGGAUACGGAGGUGGACACUACGGAGGAGGAGGACACUACGGAGGAGGAGGAGGCCACGGACACUACGGAGGAGGAGGAGGAGGCCACGGACACUACGGAGGAGGAGGAGGCCACGGACACUACGGAGGUGGAGGACACCACGGAGGAGGAGGCCACGGGCUUAACGACGAAC
Molecule: long non-coding RNA, 29226 nt
Filed under: Arabidopsis lyrata
Lineage: Eukaryota; Viridiplantae; Streptophyta; Magnoliopsida; Brassicales; Brassicaceae
Description: long non-coding RNA (ALYR_LNC002445)
Source: RNAcentral